UACGGAGGAUGCGAGCGUUAUCCGGAUUUAUUGGGUUUAAAGGGUGCGCAGGCGGAAGAUCAAGUCAGCUGUGAAAGUCCGCGGCUCAACCGUGGAAUUGCAGUUGAAACUGGAGGCCUUGAGUGCACACAGGGGUGCCGGAAUUCAUGGUGUAGCGGUGAAAUGCUUAGAUAUCAUGAAGAACUCCGAUCGCGAAGGCAAGUGUCCGGGGUGCAACUGACGCUGAGGCUCGAAAGUGCGGGUAUCAAACAGG
RNAcentral lists this ribosomal RNA (253 nucleotides) under uncultured Prevotella sp. RNAcentral's name for it is "partial 16S ribosomal RNA". It matches the Rfam family "Bacterial small subunit ribosomal RNA", at positions 524 to 776 of the family's 1533-position model. The record is from RNAcentral. Lineage: Bacteria; Pseudomonadati; Bacteroidota; Bacteroidia; Bacteroidales; Prevotellaceae.